UGAUUCUUUGAUACGAAUGCAUUCUAUUCACUGCACCAUUUACUAUUUGAAAUGAAUGAGUGGAGGGGAAAAGAAUUGCUAGAUCAAAGUUCUUUUACUUCGUCGAAAUGUAUACCUCAUACUGAAUUAUGCUUUUGAGAAAGGAAUCUCUCUCAUUCAAGUGUAUAUAUUUGGAUCUUAAUAUUUCGACACAUUC
RNAcentral lists this small nucleolar RNA (196 nucleotides) under Lodderomyces parapsilosis CDC317. Its description in RNAcentral is "Candida parapsilosis CDC317 Small nucleolar RNA snR8". It matches the Rfam family "Small nucleolar RNA snR8". The record is from Rfam by way of RNAcentral. Lineage: Eukaryota; Fungi; Ascomycota; Pichiomycetes; Serinales; Debaryomycetaceae.